Molecule: ribosomal RNA, 914 nt
Filed under: uncultured marine archaeon
Lineage: Archaea
Description: bacterial SSU rRNA
Rfam family: Archaeal small subunit ribosomal RNA
Source: RNAcentral
UUCCGGUUGAUCCUGCCGGAGGCGACCGCUAUUGGAGUUCGAUUAAGCCAUGCGAGUCGCGAGUCCUAGGGACUCGGCGUACCGCUCAGUAACACGUGGGUAACCUGCCCUAUGCUGGGGGAUAACCUCGGGAAACUGAGAAUAAUACCCCAUAGUUCACCACGCCUGGAACGGUGGGUGGAUGAAAGCUCCGGCGGCAUAGGAUGGGCCUGCGGCGUAUCAGGUUGUAGGGGGUGUAAUGUACCCUCUAGCCCUCUACGCGUACGGGUGUUGAGAGACAUCGCCCGGAGAUGGAUUCUGAGACACGAAUCCAGACCCUACGGGGUGCAGCAGGCGCGAAAACUUGGCAAUGCGAGAAAUCGUGACCAGGGAACUCCAAGUGCAUCGGGUAAGACCGAUGCUUUUCUUGACUCUUCAAAGGUCUUGGAAUAAGGGGUGGGUAAGGACGGUGCCAGCCGCCGCGGUAAUACCGGCGCCUCAAGUGGUAGUCGCUUUUAUUGGGCCUAAAACGUCCGUAGCCGGUCUGAUACAUUCGUGGGUAAAUCAACUAGCUCAACUAGUUGAAUUCUGCGAGGACGGUCAGACUUGGGACCGGGAGAGGUGUGGGGUACGCUCAGGGUAGGGGUAAAAUCCUGUCAUCCUAAGCGGACCACCUGUUGCGAAGGCGCCACACUAGAACGGAUCCGACGGUCAGGGACGAAGCCUAGGGGCACGAACCGGAUUAGAUACCCGGGUAGUCCUAGGUGUAAACGCUGUGGACUUGAUGUUGGGGGCGCUCCGAGCGCUUCCAGUGUCGAAGCGAAGGUGAUAAGUCCACUGCCUGGGAAGUACGGUCGCAAGGCUGAAACUUAAAGGAAUUGGCGGGGGAGCACCGCAACCUGAGGAUUGUGCGGUUUAAUUGGAUUCAACGCCGG